GAUGAACGCUGGCGGCGUGCUUAACACAUGCAAGUCGAACGAAGCAUUUAGAACAGAUUAUUUCGGUAUGAAGUUCUUUAUGACUGAGUGGCGGACGGGUGAGUAACGCGUGGGUAACCUGCCUUGUACUGGGGGAUAGCAGCUGGAAACGGCUGGUAAUACCGAAUAAGCGCACGGUGCGGCAGGGAACAGUGUGAAAAACUCCGGUGGUAUAAGAUGGACCCGCGUCUGAUUAGCUAGUUGGUGAGAUAACAGCCCACCAAGGCGACGAUCAGUAGCCGACCUGAGAGGGUGACCGGCCACAUUGGGACUGAGACACGGCCCAGACUCCUACGGGAGGCAGCAGUGGGGAAUAUUGCACAAUGGAGGAAACUCUGAUGCAGCAACGCCGCGUGAGUGAAGAAGUAAUUCGUUAUGUAAAGCUCUAUCAGCAGGGAAGAUAGUGACGGUACCUGACUAAGAAGCUCCGGCUAAAUACGUGCCAGCCGCCGCGGUAA
This 497-nucleotide ribosomal RNA is filed under the name uncultured bacterium. Its description in RNAcentral is "partial 16S ribosomal RNA". It matches the Rfam family "Bacterial small subunit ribosomal RNA", at positions 28 to 523 of the family's 1533-position model. The record is from RNAcentral.